UACGGGGGGGGCAAGCGUUUGUUCGGAAUUACUGGGCGUAAAGGGCUCGUAGGCGGCCAACUAAGUCGGACGUGAAAUCCCCAGGCUCAACCUGGGAACUGCGUCCGAUACUGGAUGGCUUGAAUCCGGGAGAGGGAUGCAGAAUUCCAGGUGUAGCGGUGAAAUGCGUAGAUAUCUGGAGGAAUACCGGUGGCGAAGGCGGCAUCCUGGGCCGUAACUGACGCUGAGGAGCGAAAGCAUGGGGGAGCGAACAGG
This 255-nucleotide ribosomal RNA is filed under the name uncultured bacterium. Its description in RNAcentral is "partial 16S ribosomal RNA". It matches the Rfam family "Bacterial small subunit ribosomal RNA", at positions 524 to 776 of the family's 1533-position model. The record is from RNAcentral.